GACCCGAAAGGGCGGCCGGGGGUGGGGCCGGCGUGCAGAGACAUGCCCGUACGGGACACGGCGAUACAGUUUAAAGGGGCCAAACGAUGAGACAACAGCGGGCAGGGGACCAACGGCGGGGGGGAAGCACUGACGGAGACGAGAGGGAGUGUCAACUGCGGGGGGACCAGAGGAGAGGGGAGCUGCGGCAACGCCUACGGGUCGUUCGUUUGCAUACUUUUUACGUUGUUCCACAGCUGCUGCUCUGAAUAGAUGCUCUUGUAUUCCCACACUGAUUGUUUACUCUCAAGAAGAGGAUGCUCAGGACACACUGCACCACACUCUACAGGCUCCCUGAAGUUAGGUUGUGAUGAGGAGGGCUUUGGCCUCUGCUACCAGGAAACAAACAGUAAUACAGGAAACAGCCACAAAUUUCACCAUGUCAGAUUUCAUUAUGCCUAAGUAAAAAUGUAUUCUGUCACAGAGCAGUCAUGCACAGGAA
This is a long non-coding RNA of Gallus gallus (chicken), 481 nucleotides long. RefSeq lists it as uncharacterized. The transcript has 2 exons. The record is from RefSeq and is a predicted model, not a curated record. NCBI's taxonomy places the organism in Eukaryota, Metazoa, Chordata, Aves, Galliformes, Phasianidae.